This 504-nucleotide ribosomal RNA is filed under the name uncultured bacterium. Its description in RNAcentral is "partial 16S ribosomal RNA". It matches the Rfam family "Bacterial small subunit ribosomal RNA", at positions 28 to 523 of the family's 1533-position model. The record is from RNAcentral.
GAUGAACGCUAGCGGCAGGCCUAAUACAUGCAAGUCGAACGGGAUCUGAGGGUAGCUUGCUACCCGAUUUGAGAGUGGCGCACGGGUGCGUAACGCGUGAGCAACCUACCCAUAUCAGGGGGAUAGCCCGAAGAAAUUCGGAUUAACACCGCAUAAUAAUACGCUAACACAUGUUGAUGUAUUUAAAUAUUUAUAGGAUAUGGAUGGGCUCGCGUGACAUUAGCUAGUUGGUAAGGUAACGGCUGACCAAGGCGACGAUGUCUAGGGGCUCUGAGAGGAGAAUCCCCCACACUGGUACCGAGACACGGACCAGACUCCUACGGGAGGCAGCAGUAAGGAAUAUUGGUCAAUGGGCGCAAGCCUGAACCAGCCAUGCCGCGUGCAGGAUGACUGCCCUAUGGGUUGUAAACUGCUUUUGUUAGGGAAUAAACCUUCUUACGUGUAAGGAGCUGAAUGUACCUAAAGAAUAAGGAUCGGCUAACUCCGUGCCAGCAGCCGCCGUAA